RNAcentral lists this ribosomal RNA (253 nucleotides) under uncultured prokaryote. RNAcentral describes it as "partial 16S ribosomal RNA". It matches the Rfam family "Bacterial small subunit ribosomal RNA", at positions 525 to 777 of the family's 1533-position model. The record is from RNAcentral.
ACAGAGGUCCCAAGCGUUGUUCGGAUUCACUGGGCGUAAAGGGUGCGUAGGUGGUCGGGUAAGUCUGAUGUGAAAUCUCCGAGCUCAACUCGGAAAUGGCAUUGGAUACUAUCUGGCUAGAGGAGUGGAGGGGGGACUGGAAUACUUGGUGUAGCAGUGAAAUGCGUAGAUAUCAAGUGGAACACCAGUGGCGAAGGCGAGUCCCUGGACACUUCCUGGCACUGAGGCACGAAAGCUAGGGGAGCAAACAGGA